AGGACGAACGCUGGCGGCGUGCUUAACACAUGCAAGUCAAGGGGGGCCCAGCAAUGGGCAACCGGCGAACGGGUGCGUAACACGUGAGCAACCUACCGAAAUGUGGGGGAUAGCCGGCCUAACGGCCGAGUAAUACCGCAUACGCUCUCGAUGAGGCAUUUCAUUGAGAGGAAACCUACGGGACAUUUCGAGGGGCUCGCGGCCUAUCAGCUAGUUGGCGAGGUAACGGCUCACCAAGGCAACGACGGGUAGCUGGUCUGAGAGGAUGGCCAGCCACAUUGGGACUGAGAUACGGCCCAGACUCCUACGGGAGGCAGCAGGUGGGGGAAUCUUGCGCAAUGGCCUAACGGCUGACGCAGCGACGCCGCGUGUGGAUGAAGCUCUUCGGAGUGUAAACCACUGUUGCCCGGACGAAUAGCUCGAUUAGUCGAGCCUGACGGUACCGGGUGAGGAGCACCGCUAACUCCGUGCCAGCAGCCGCGGUAA
RNAcentral lists this ribosomal RNA (486 nucleotides) under uncultured soil bacterium. Its description in RNAcentral is "bacterial SSU rRNA". It matches the Rfam family "Bacterial small subunit ribosomal RNA", at positions 26 to 523 of the family's 1533-position model. The record is from RNAcentral.